Molecule: long non-coding RNA, 930 nt
Organism: Phyllostomus discolor (pale spear-nosed bat)
Lineage: Eukaryota; Metazoa; Chordata; Mammalia; Chiroptera; Phyllostomidae
Exons: 4
Source: RefSeq, a predicted model, not a curated record
CCGCCCGGCCCUGCUCACCAGCCCGAUGGCCCCCGCCGGCCCCGGGGUGGCAGAGCCCAGAGGUGGACGUGGCCGCCGUGCAGCAGGCCCUGAGGGAGCUGGUGCGGCAGCGGCGCCAGGCCCAGCGGGAGCGGGACACCUGGCGCUCCCAGGUGGCCAGCCUGGGCUGCCAGCUGCGGGAGGAGCAGAGGGAGCGGGCCCGGGCCCAGAGCCAGGUGGUGCGGCUGCACAGGGCGCUGGCCCGGGCGGAGGAAGGCUGGCGCCCGGCAGAGGGGGAGGCGGGUGGCGCCCAGGCCACAAGGGCCCUGCAGGAGGAGGCGCUGCAGAGGCUGGAGGCGGAGCACCCGGUGAGUGAGCGGUCCGCGGGCCAGGAGAGGAGGUGGCUCCAGGUCCAGGGGCCCCUGUGCCCGGUCCCUGCUGUCAGUCCUGUGUCCCACGUUGCCUGAUGCGGCACGGCCCACCACCCACCCUUUCCAACCCGCCGCCCACCUCCCGCCAGCCUGGCUGCGUUUCCGCUCCACCCCGGGUGUUUGCCUCUCCGGGGGGAGCUUGUCCCUCUCACAGCCAUCGUGGAGACUUGUUUCGUCCCUCUGCUGUUAACACUUCCUCACGCCCUCCGUGCUGUCCUCCAUGUUGGUCGCUUGCCCUCCCCUUCCCUCCAGUGCCCACAUCCUGCCCUCGCCCCUUUCCCUGGUCUGGGGGGCAGGGGAGCGCGGCGGCAAAGUCACGCUGGGCUCGGGGAUGGCAGGUGGCUGCUGGGACCCCUUCCUGCUCCCCGGCCCCCUCCCAGCUGCCGGGUCUCUGCACCUGUGUCCUGGGGGCUCCCGGGCUGCACACCCGCCUGCCCCCUCUUUCUGCUCAGGGCCGGCCAGUCCACGCAGAGCCAGACCUGAGCCCAAGCUCGGUGCACUCCCACUCAGCCAUGGGGGC